Molecule: ribosomal RNA, 787 nt
Filed under: uncultured bacterium
Lineage: Bacteria
Description: bacterial SSU rRNA
Rfam family: Bacterial small subunit ribosomal RNA
Source: RNAcentral
GCGGCAGGCUUAACACAUGCAAGUCGAGCGGAAACGGUGGGAGCUUGCUCCCAGGCGUCGAGCGGCGGACGGGUGAGUAACACUUAGGAAUCUACCUAGUAGUGGGGGAUAGCUCGGGGAAACUCGAAUUAAUACCGCAUACGUCCUACGGGAGAAAGGGGGCAACUUGUUGCUCUCGCUAUUAGAUGAGCCUAAGUCGGAUUAGCUAGUUGGUGGGGUAAAGGCCUACCAAGGCGACGAUCUGUAGCUGGUCUGAGAGGAUGAUCAGCCACACCGGGACUGAGACACGGCCCGGACUCCUACGGGAGGCAGCAGUGGGGAAUAUUGGACAAUGGGGGCAACCCUGAUCCAGCCAUGCCGCGUGUGUGAAGAAGGCCUUUUGGUUGUAAAGCACUUUAAGCAGUGAAGAAGACCUAACGGUUAAUACCCGUUAGCGAUGACAUUAGCUGCAGAAUAAGCACCGGCUAACUCUGUGCCAGCAGCCGCGGUAAUACAGAGGGUGCAAGCGUUAAUCGGAAUUACUGGGCGUAAAGCGAGCGUAGGUGGCUUGAUAAGUCAGAUGUGAACUCCCCGGGCUUAACCUGGGAACUGCAUCUGAUACUGUCAGGCUAGAAUAGGUGAGAGGAAGGUAGAAUUCCAGGUGUAGCGGUGAAAUGCGUAGAGAUCUGGAGGAAUACCGAUGGCGAAGGCAGCCUUCUGGCAUCAUAUUGACACUGAGGUUCGAAAGCGUGGGUAGCAAACAGGAUUAGAUACCCUGGUAGUCCACGCCGUACAACGAUGUCUACUA